Lytechinus pictus (painted urchin) is the source of this 2006-nucleotide long non-coding RNA. RefSeq lists it as uncharacterized. The record is from RefSeq and is a predicted model, not a curated record. The transcript has 3 exons. NCBI's taxonomy places the organism in Eukaryota, Metazoa, Echinodermata, Echinoidea, Temnopleuroida, Toxopneustidae.
CAUGUCAGGCUACAGAGUGGUAGGAGAUGGUUUCUACUGUGGAACCAAGUACAUGGUGACUGCUUUGAUAGAAGGUUUACGAAAAGAACUUAGGGCAAUGAAAAAGAACAUCAGAGUUUGUGGUAUAUUUCACCAGGUAUUGUUGAGACUGAAUUUGCAGCAAGGAAAGCACGCCAAGAUCCAGCAGAAUGUUCUUUUUAACAGACAAAUCCGAGUAUCAAAGCAGAAGAUGUCGCCAAUCAAGUCAUUCACAUUCUUCAGCAGCCUCCUCAUGUUCAGGUACGAUUUUUAGAUGGAAUGAACUGGCCUUUGCCUGUCAUAUUAUCGUAUUGCCCUGCAUAGCAAUGGCGAGCGCGUCACUUUUCCAACGAUGGCGGCGCGGCGCUCAGUGGGCCAGAAUGAACCCAAAGUGCGCCAAAACCCAUUAUUCACACAUUUGUAAGAUUAAAUUUGGUAGAUAGGGGUAAUUUCACCCGUAGAAUUCAAUAAAAGUAUUUCAAAUAUUGAUGACGUCGUUAAAAUACUGUUUUCUGAUUGGCUGUUAACAUUUGAGAAGAAAUUACAUGUUUCUAAUUCUACAAUAAUUUUUAAAUUUUUAGAAACUAGUUUUAGAAAAAUUUCAGCAAUAAUUAAGCAUAUUAGCAAACAGCAAACACACAAACAGGCAAACAAACAAGAAAAGUCUGUGCUCGGGGUACAAACAAUUCAAUUGAUGACUUGAGUAUCGCUUAAAGAGGGCGCCCUACCAUGAAUCCGGAAUUGUAAAAUUCAAAGUGAAAUUGAAAAAAAAAAUGCAAAGGAGUAUUUUCAUUCCCUGGGUACAAUGAUUAACCACACCUACAUGAAUUAAAAUGGAUUGAUACCAGAAGUGGACAGUGAAAUCUUUAAAAUAAUGAUUCAAAUGAUAAAUAAUAGAGGCCGGGUCCUCUGCAGGUUAAUCAGAACAAGGCCUACCUAUUUCACCAAGAACGGUGUAUACAAAGUUAUUCUGAAUCAGAGUCUCUCUCUGCUAUCUCACCAACUAUUAUGUCUUUGGUGAGAGGAUCUUUUAGCAUAAUUUGAACAUCAGGGGGAAGAGGCUGUGAUUGUUGUACUCUUAAAAACUUGCUACUUAUCACAAUGUCACCUGUUACCAUUAGUCUGUGGAAUACAUAUAAAGUCAAUGAGAGUCAUAAACCAAACAAUCCUUGAAAUGAUAAUAUACACUUCCUUCUUGAUCGAUACUAACAAUAAUUUAUAGCAAAUUUAGAAUGAGCCAAGAGAUAAACCAAUUCAUACGUGUAUUUGUUUGCUUGCAUUUAUUUCUGCGUUCAAAAACAUAAUACAAAAAUAUUUACAAUUACAAUAUACAAAAUAAUUCACAAUAUAAACAAUGUAGUCAUAUUACAUGAUAAAUACAAAUAAGAGCGUGAGUAUAAAUUAAUCUUUUAUAAAUGUAAACAUAUAUAUAUAAUGUAAUAAAUGAACGCAGGAGACCACCAUCGUGAGCGGUUAGGCUUGAAUUGAUGGCGGCCUCAUAAAAAGAUUCGUGACUUAGAUUGAUAUUUACUGGUCAAGUGGGUGCAUUGCAGGUGCAGGUGCUGUAUAGCAGUUGAGUAAAAUCAGAAUGUUAAAUAGCGAAUGUGGAUAUUUGAGUGAAUGUUUUAAUUUGGAGCGAGGGGUUGAUAAGAUUGAAUGAUAGUUUUCUUUAGAGUGGCUUUUAAUGAGUAUAUGGUAGAACAAGUUUUAAUAUUGUUUGGAAGAUCAUUCCAAAUGUCUGGACCAUGAUGUCGAAUUGAUUUAGAGGCAAUUAACAGUCUGGGGUUAGAGAGAUGAAAGUUUCCGGAUAUGCGCGAUGGGUAAGUAUGGACAUAACUAUUAAAUUUAAACAUGUUAUCAAAAGACGAAGGGAGCAGAUUGUUAAUAUAUUUAAACAUAAUUAUAGCUAUUUGAAUAGUAUAUAAGUCGGCAAUUUUUAAUGUCUUUUGUUUAAAAAAUAAAGGAUCGGUGUGAGCCAAAUAAUGCGA